AACGAACGCUGGCGGCAGGCUUAACACAUGCAAGUCGAACGCCCCGCAAGGGGAGUGGCAGACGGGUGAGUAACGCGUGGGAAUCUACCGUACCCUACGGAACAACAGUUGGAAACGACUGCUAAUACCGUAUACGCCCUACGGGGGAAAGAUUUAUCGGGGUAUGAUGAGCCCGCGUUGGAUUAGCUAGUUGGUGGGGUAAGGGCCUACCAAGGCGACGAUCCAUAGCUGGUCUGAGAGGAUGAUCAGCCACAUUGGGACUGAGACACGGCCCAAACUCCUACGGGAGGCAGCAGUGGGGAAUAUUGGACAAUGGGCGCAAGCCUGAUCCAGCCAUGCCGCGUGAGUGAUGAAGGUCUUAGGAUUGUAAAGCUCUUUCACCGAUGAAGAUAAUGACGGUAGUCGGGGAAGAAGCCCUGGCUAACUUCGUGCCAGCCGCCGCAGUAA
RNAcentral lists this ribosomal RNA (447 nucleotides) under uncultured bacterium. RNAcentral describes it as "partial 16S ribosomal RNA". It matches the Rfam family "Bacterial small subunit ribosomal RNA", at positions 29 to 523 of the family's 1533-position model. The record is from RNAcentral.